AACGCACAUUGCGCCCCCUGGUAUUCCGGGGGGCAUGCCUGUCCGAGCGUCAUUGCUGCCCUCAAGCCCGGCUUGUGUGUUGGGUCGCCGUCCCCCUCUCCGGGGGGACGGGCCCGAAAGGCAGCGGCGGCACCGCGUCCGAUCCUCGAGCGUAUGGGGCUUUGUCACAUGCUCUGUAGGAUUGGCCGGCGCCUGCCGACGUUUUCCAAUCAUUCUUUCCAGGUUGACCUCGGAUCAGGUAGGAAUACCCGCUGAACUCAA
RNAcentral lists this unclassified non-coding RNA (261 nucleotides) under uncultured Eurotiales. Its description in RNAcentral is "sequence contains 5.8S rRNA gene, ITS2, 28S rRNA gene". The stretch from base 1 to 52 matches the Rfam family "5.8S ribosomal RNA", at positions 103 to 154 of the family's 154-position model. Lineage: Eukaryota; Fungi; Ascomycota; Eurotiomycetes; Eurotiales. The record is from RNAcentral.